This is a small nucleolar RNA of Tachyglossus aculeatus (Australian echidna), 138 nucleotides long. NCBI's taxonomy places the organism in Eukaryota, Metazoa, Chordata, Mammalia, Monotremata, Tachyglossidae. The record is from RefSeq and is a predicted model, not a curated record.
ACCCUCUCGGGGUCAAACCUGGAGAAUUUCCAGUACUCUACCAGUCUCGACUACAGGAGGGAGAGUCAAGCAGAGGCCUAUCCAUUCCAUUCCUCACUUGGGCAGUGGCUAGAGAGUGGAAGGCAAUCUGCUACAAGG